This 8449-nucleotide long non-coding RNA is filed under the name Cricetulus griseus (Chinese hamster). Its description in RNAcentral is "lncRNA (ENSCGRG00015038492.1)". The record is from RNAcentral. Lineage: Eukaryota; Metazoa; Chordata; Mammalia; Rodentia; Cricetidae.
AAACUAGCUGUAAUUUGUCACAUUUUUUGGAAGUUCCUUGUUGCACACCCUAUUUACUCAGAUAAAAUUAUUUCUUUCUCAGUUCUCUGAUCAAGUUGAAGAAUUUAUAUUUAUAGUUUUCCCUAGAGCAGAUUCAGUAAUGAAAUUCCCUAAAGAAAUAUAAAGUAUAUAUGGUUGAGAAACAUACAAAGAUACUUUAGUAAUGCAAGAUAGAAUAGAAAGUGAAUUAGUUACAAUCAUGUGGAACCACCAAAAUAGGAUAGAUACUGGAUUAUUUUUGUGAAUUUGUCAAAUAUUUACAGAAUAGACAUUGAUGUGUUGAUGUGUUUAUUGCUUGGAUAUUUUGUAUAUAGUUAUUGUUCUUGUUGCAUAUACUUUUUCUUAUAUUAGUUAUAACCAUUUUAUGUUUUAGACAAAAAAAUGGAAAUGCAAAAUUUUGUUUGUGCUCUAAAAAAUAAAGCUAGCCUGAAGAUCAGGGUUUGAUGUAGACACUGCUUAACCAUAGAGGCCAGGCCAUGGUUACACAUAGCUUUAACCCACGAAUUUGGGAGGAAGAAGCAGGAAGAUCAGGAGUUCAAGGCCACACUGAGGUACACGAAAUUCAACCAGUCUGAUAGAUAUAAGAGCUGGGUGCCUGUGGCUCACUCCUCAGGUGGAGACAGGAGUAUAAGGCUGGAGGAGGCAGUAUUUAGGCUUAUUCAUAUGGUAGAUUUGUAAAGACAGGACCUCCCCAGCACUUCCAUCUGAACAUUUGGUACAGGUAAGAAGUCCCUAUAGUGUUGGCUCCUUUAAUUCUCUUAUGUCUCAACAUUUACCCAAUUAUCUGACAUCUCACUCAGCGUUUUUACUAUUUAAAUCAAUUUGAAGAAAUGCUACAGAGCACCUUUUACCCUCUAAACACACACACACACACACACACACACACACACACACACAGAGAGAGAGAGAGAGAGAGAGAGAGAGAGAGAGAGAAAGAAAGACAGAGAGAGAGAAAGAAAGACAGAGAGAGAGAAAGAGAGACAGAGACAGAGACAGAGACAGAGAAACAAAUGUAAUAACAAAAGAAGUCAUGUCACGAGAACUCUGAGGCUGCGGUCCACACCCAUCUGUGGCCAGGACACAGAGGCCUAGAGGAGCCCUGUGACACAAGUACUCUCUACAACUGGCCCUUGUCCCCUGCAGGGGGCAGAAAGGACAGAUUUUGUUGUGCAGAAGCUUUAUCAUCAGCAGCAUACACUGGGCCUCUCUGUCCUUCACUGUCACAUGCUCCUAGGGAGUUCAGUCGGGAGGUCAUGUAUGUGCUCUAUGGACCUGUCCCACAGACACUCUGCCCUAAUGCGUUCUGCUGGGGUAUUUUGGCAAUGCUGCAAUUGAGCAGUGAUGUUUCAAGGUGCACUAGUUGUUCCCCCCAUAUUCUCAUUGUAAAUCAAAACAUUCAGGCUCCCCUGUGAAUUGCAAGGAUUUUAUUGUUGGAAUCCUGGCUUUAGAUACCUGGAGGGAAGGGUAGGGCUUGCUGCAUCUAUUCAGGUGAGUAGGCAAGUGGCUUCCUUGAGUCUUAUUGCCCAGAUGGAUUCAUCAACAGAAUUUGUUAGCAUCUAUUUUCUGCUGCAAAGAGAACCCGGUGAGGCAUCUGAGGUUUCAGAGGUGAAGGACAUCUCACUGAGCAUACAUGGGACACCUCAUGGGAGGGACUGAAACCUGUCUGCCAGAGCACCUGGGUCUGACCACGAUCAAGGAGCCAUCUCUCCAUCCUGUCUGCCUCAAACCACAUCAGGGCAAACCUUGCAAACAGCCUCCAAUCCAGCCUGAUGGAAAGAGCCACCUGCACUCGGGUCACCAUGGGCACAUAUGGGACACAAUGCAGAGGCAGCUGGGCAGGUCCUGGAGUGUCUCAGGAGAGCCUGCAGGCAACUGUGACCCCACAAGUGAAUUGAUUCCUGUCACAUGAAUACACUCAGACACAUGCAACUGAGGUUGUGACUGGUCUUACUAGUUUUAGUGACAGUAGGGGACUCAACUAGAUGCUCCACAUGAGUCACCUAGGCCUGGAUUCUACAUAGUGGCCUUGGAGAUCCAGAGUGCAAGAAAAAAAUAGUGUUUGUGGAUGCAGUGGUACACUUGACAAGUUAGGGUAAAAGACCCAGCCUGGAGAAAGAGUGCCAGGCCCUGUGCUGGGUGUGGCUGGACCCAGAAGGCUGGGCCAGACAUGCUGAUGGAGGCCAAGUGGUAUCAGGGGGGACAGGGAUCCUCAGGGUCUAGUCUGGCUGGGUCGAGUGAACAUCUAGGCCUAGCUCAGGUUGCCUGAUUGUCCCUUCCUGCCCCAUCCUCCUGAUACCAGCAGUUAGAAGAGCCAACUUUAUGCACACAGAAGUUGCAGGGGCCGUGAGGAACACAGGCUCCAUCUCUAACUGGGGUGAUCAGGGCAGCUCCUGGGACAGAGACAGACACAAUAGAACUCACCGGUAAACUGAGUACAUUCUCCUUGUCAACCUUUGUCAAAUUGCUGUCAACACAUUUCUUCAGAUUUUCAGCAUUUUCCAGUGUUGCAUUGUCAUUCUUGUAUUUCUUGACAAAGUUUACAUAUUCCGGCAGAGAUGGGCCAAGUAAAAGCUCAAUCUCCUGCUUUAUAGCUGGGCAAAUGACAGAAACUGAAACACGAAGAAAAGGGGAUCCUCCCUUGAAACCUUGUGUCAGAACACAGGAGUCCUUCCUGGGGCAGUAAAGGUGUGAGAGCACUAGAGACUUAAAAUCCCCAAAACCCACAGCCUAGUACCUACCUCCCCCUGAAAUCAGGAGCAGGACAGCCCCAAGCAACAGUAGUGCACCAGGGAGUUUCAUGGUAAUGAUGGCAGGUGCUCCUACCUAGCUCAGGCCCCUUCUAUACCUGCCCUGGGCUGCUCAGUGGGCAGAGAGGGGCUGUGUCUGAGCCCCUCCAGACUCCUCCCAGAUCACUGUGUGAAACUCCCAAUGGCUUUGUCAGGAGAGAUGUGUAUUUUGGCAAGAGGAUAAAAUCCUGGUCAACAAAGGGCCUUGUCUCAGCCUGGUGCCUUUCUUAGUAUUCUGCUUAAUGUCACAUGUCACAUGAAGACCAAAGGAAAAUUUGAGUAAGGAGCCAGGCAACAGGCCCCUCAACUAAGCCUCCAGAGUGAGCCCUAGGUCACCCUGUGAGGAUGGGAACUCAAGGGUUACUUAAAAGUCUCCUUAGUAGUCAAUGUCUAAAACAGACCAAAUCACAGACACUUGGGGACCCCUGCUCUGACUGUUUCUGUCCCUAACCCCAUCUUUCCCUUGCUUCAUGGCUUCCUUGAACCACCCUCUAACCCUGAAGUCCUCCUGCUGUUGUAGUCAUUCUGCAGCUUGAUCUCUUCCUUGUUUUUUUUAGGUAGCAUCUCUAGACAUUACCCUUCUGUGCGAGAAAAUCUGUGUAUACCAGGCUGGCCUUGAACUCAGAUAUCCACCUGCCUCUGCCUACUGAGUGCUAGGAUUAAAUGUGUGCUCUACACAGCCACACUGGUCCUCUUAAACUUCUAUUUGAUGUUUAUUUUUCAUAUAGGAUCUGGCCCAGGUUAACCAUGUGUUCAUAAAAUUCCUAACAAGGGAGGAAGUGGGAGUGUGUGUGUGUGUGUGUGUGUGUGUGUGUGUGUGUGUGUGUGUGUGUGUCUGUGUCUGUGUGUCUGUGUGUAUGGUAUGUGUUUAGGACAUGGAUUGUGGUUUGUAUGUGUUUCUGCAAUAUGUAUGUGUGGUGUGGGGGGUCCAUGUGUGUUGUUUUGGGUGGUGUGUGUAUAUUGUGUGUUUAUGGUAUGCGAGUCUGUGGUGCAUGUUUGUGCUGUGUGUUAUGUGUAUGUCUGUAUGUGGUGUUGGUAUAUGUGGAUUGUGUGUGGACUGUGUGUGUGUGGCAUAGGUGUGUAUGUGUGUGGUAUACUUACAAAUGUGUGUGAUGUAUGUAAUAUGUGUGUGUUUCUGAGUUGUGUUUGUGUGGUGUGUGUAGUAUGUGGAUGUGUGGUGUGUUCAUGUUAUAUGGUGUGUAUGUUUCUACAGUAUGUAUUGUGAUAUGGUGGGCCAUGCAUGUAUGUGGUACAUGUGUGUUGUUUUGGGUGGUGUGUGUUUGUGGUAUAUGUGUAUGAUAGGUGUGUUGUGUAUGUGUGUAGAAUGUGUGUGACUGGGGUUUAUGUGGGUUGUGUGUGUCAUGUGUGUGUGCAAUGUGUUUGUAUGGUUGUGUGUGUGUGUAGUAUGUGUGUGUCAUGUGUGUUUGUUUGUGUGUGAUGUAUGUGUAGUAUGUUGUGGGUAUGGUGUAUUUGUUACUAUGUAUGUGUGUAUGUGUGGUGUGAGUGUGUGGUGAAUUCAGAUUCCUCUGUGGCUGGCUGUAAGCACUGUUAAAAUCCUUUAACAAUACCUGGUCUUGUGUCAACACUUUCAGUCCUAGCACACAGGAGACAGAGGCAGGUGGAUCUCUGUGAGAUUGAGGUCAGCCUGUUCAGCACAGAGAAUUCCAGGCCAGCCAGAAUUACACUGUGAGAUGCAGUUAAUACCACUAUGAUGUCAUCAAACACCAUAUAAGAGGGACAGGCAGAUAUGGUUUCAACAUGGCUAGGCCAUACACAGCAACCCCACCUUAAGCCUUGGUCCCCAGGGUGACAGUCCUGAGAGGUAGUGAUGGUGGGUGGUGACAAGCAGGCAGAGCUCCUGCUCUAGUACUGACUUCCAUCAGCUCCCCUGAACUCCCCACCUCUCACCAUGAGUUCACACAGUUCAAGCAUUGGCAAGAUGUGACUGCCCUAUAUGAGCCUGUCAAGACUCCAGCCCAUGAACCAAAUUAACUUCUUUCCCACAUACAGUGCUGAGUCUGGGUAGUUUGGUCAUAGCAAUGAAAUGCAGAUUACAACACCACAGUACACGUGCAUCCUGUACAUAAGAACACGCCGGGCUGUACCACAGCAUGGAGCUCUACACCCUGUCCCCAAUUCCCCAGUUCCUCUUUCACUGGCUGCUUUUGUGUUCCUUAGAUAUCUAAUGGCUCAGGAGACCAAGGCAUGUGCCACUCUGUCCCAGGGACACCACAUAGGAGGUGUCAACAAUGGAGGGCUAGCUGGCUUCUCUCAAGUCUAUAAACAAGACCUUUCUGAAAACUUGAAACAACAGGAUCUUCCAACUUAGCCCAGGCUAGUCAGAAACUCUCAACACCCUUGCCCUGCCUCCAUAUUCACCUUACAUAAGUGCUUGUGUAAUUUGGCUGAUAUUCAUUUUUAAAAGUAAAGAUUCCAAGAGUUUUUGAUCAGUCAGAACUAAGUAGUUUGUUGUUAAAGGCAUUGACUGUCCCUUUCUCUCCAUCAGGAGUGACAGAUGAAGUUUUCCAAAUACUUAGAGAGGCAUUAGCCUUUAAAUUACUGGUCACACAAGCCAAACGGUAUCUGAAUCCAGUAACCGAUUUUUGGCAAAGAGGUGCCAAGCACUAAUAUUCCCUCGUGAUCUGUCCACUAUAUCCUCUAGUUCUUGUUUUGAUGACCUUGCAGGUCCUAUGGCUGCUGAGGUCCAGCUAGGCCUUUCUAUGCCUUGGAAGUAUUAGGAAUGGAUACAAGGGAAUCCUGUGGCUAACAAAUGUCUACUGGUAGCAUACUACCAUUCCCACGUUCAGGCAGAUAUCAUCUUGUUGCAUACUAUCCUUACAAAUUGGAGGUUCUGACACAUAAAGAAGCCAAAGGUCAUUUUAAGAUACUUGAAACAUCUUUCUCAGGAACAAGAUAAUCAAAGAAUGCUCCUAAAAUGACAAUGAUUAUAAGGAUUAAUAAUGGCACUCAUCUAACUGUGAGUAUAGCUUGAACAGAUGCAAAAUGUUUCCUUCCAAUAUUCACAUUAUAAAGCACCUUAUUUUUGCAUGAGUAUUGGGACAGUGAUCCUUAUUGAAUUGGUCUCUUUCAUGCAUUUUCAGACGUGUUCUAAUUUUUUAGAUUCUUUUAAGAUUUUUUAAAAACACUGUACAUUUGUUAGGAUUCUGAUAGUGAUGAAUUUUAAGGUUUGACUAUCUGAGCACUCCAUAAAACCUGCAACAUUUUUGAAAUUCAUAGCAUUCUUCUAGUUUGGAUACUGUGGUGAUUGUUAACAUUUAUGCACCCUGAAGAUGAUUUCCUAUGUGCUUCACAUUUAUAAGAUUUCUCUCAUGUAUGAAUGUAUUGAGUUAUUGCAGAGAUGAUCAAUGUGUAAAGGAAAGAAUAUAAUGUACUAAUUAAAUAUUAAGGAUUCUGACUUCUCCAAACUUGUAGUGUCUAUGAAGAUGUGAAUCAUAGGUACAGAACCUGCACAAUUUGUAUAUUUCUAACUUUUUCUCUAUUAUGUAUUCUUAGAUGAAAUUUAAGUAUUGUGCUCAUAGUAAAGGACUUUUCACAUGCAUUUCAAUUGUAAUGCUUCUAUCCAGUAUGAAAUAUUUGAAGAAUUUGAAGUGUUGAGGUCUGUUUAAAAGAUUUGCCCCAUAUUUACAAUUUUAAGGUUUUUGUCCAGUGUCUAUUCUUUGAUGAACACCAAGAAUUCAGCCUUUUGUAAAGAAUUGCCACAUACUUGAAAACUGUACGGUUUCUCGCACGUAUGUAUUCUUUGAUGAAAUUUAAAAUUUGAGCAUAUGAUAAAGGACUUUCGACAUUCUUUACACAUAACAUUUCUCUCCUUUAUGUAAUCUUUGAUGAGCUUGAAGUUUUGAGUCUUUGUUAAAGGAUUUGCCACAUUAUUUACAAUUGUAAGUUUUCUCUCCAGUGUGUUCCUUGAUGAACUUUAAGUGUUAAGGAUGUAGUAAAGCACUUUCCACAUUCUUUACAUUUAUAUAGUUUAUCUCCAGUAUGUAUUCUCUGAUGAUCAUGAAGUUUUGAGCCUGUCAGAAAGGACUUUCCACAUUCAUUACAAUUAUAAGGUUUCUCUCCAGUAUGUAUUCUUUGAUGAACUUGAAGAUUUGAGCAUUGUGUAAAAGACUUUCCACAUUCUUUACAUUUAUAUGGUUUCUCUCCAGUAUGUAUUCUUUGAUGAACUUUAAGAUCUGAACCAUUGGUAAAGCACUUCCCACAUUCUAUACAUUUAUAUGGUUUCUCACCAGUAUGUAUUCUCUGAUGAUCAUGAAGUUUUGAGCCUGUCAUAAAGGACUUUCCACAUUCAUUACAUUUAUAUGGUUUCUCUCCAGUAUGUAUUCUUUGAUGAACUUUAAGAUCUGAGCCAUUGGUAAAGGACUUCCCUCAUUCUGUACAUUUAUAAGGUUUCUCUCCAGUAUGUAUUCUUUGAUGAACUUUAAGAGUUGAGCCUAUUGUAAAGGACUUUCCACAUUCUUUACAUUUAUAUGUUUUUUCUCCAUCAUGUAUUCUUUGAUGAGAAUGAAGGCUUGAGCCUGUCAUAAAGGACUUUCCACAGUCAUUACAUUUAUAAGGUUUCUCUCCAGUAUGUAUUCUUUGAUGAACUUGAAGUGUUGAGCCUUGUGUAAAAGGCUUUCCACAUUCUUUACAUUUAUAUGGUUUCUCUCCAGUAUGUAUUCUUUCAUGAACUUUAAGAUCUGAGGCUUUCAUAAAGGGCUUUCCACAUUUAUUACAUUUAUAUUGUUUCAUCCCAGUAUCUAUUCUUUGAUGAACUUUGAGAUCUGAGCCAUUGGUGAAGGACUUCCCACAUUCUUUAUAUCGGUAAAGUUUCAUUCCAAUACAUAUUCUUUGAUGAACUUUAAGAGUUGAGCCUUUCAUAUAUUCUUUGUCUAAUAUUUCUUCCUGAGGGGUAUCCUGUGUACACUCUUUUGGAAACAACUCCUGAACUGGAUAACAAAACAAACCUGGAAGAAAUGAAAGAAGUUAUUUAUAUGACUGUCUGGAAUUAGGCAAAAUAAUAUUGAAACUUAUAAAUAAAAGGACUCCAAUGUGUACUGUAACAAAUAGAUUAAUCACAUAAGAUGUUCUAUUUGCUUAGAAAUUGUAUUGUUAAUUUAGAUCAAUAACAUCUUUCAAAGCACAUUAUAUAGUGUUAGAAAUGAAAAAUCAUAUAUAGACUUCCUAUGAUUAAUUAUAAUUAAUACAUAUUAAUACAUAGUCAUUGAAAGAGAGAGUUUAUUAAAAAGAAAGCAAUAAAAUGAUCAUUAAAAACAAAUAUGGCCGUAAGUAAUCCAGUGUUCAAACAAGAAAAACAUGAAGUAUGCCAUAUCAUGAAAUUGUGUUUAAUGUAAUAUGAAAUGUUUAAAUGGAACCUCUUUAAACGUGUCAUGUAACCAGAAACUAUUAACACAAUUUUUAGAAAACAAAGCAAAUUAUUAUCCAUUUUUAAAAAUGUUCUAUUUACCUCAAAUUUUCAAAAUUAAUUUAGAUUAAUUACACAUUUCAAAACAAAUGAAUUAUAAAUUUUAGAAGUGAAAAAAAAUUAGACUUCAAGCUGUAAUUAAUCAAAAGAGAUGUAGAAGGUCAUCCCAUAUUCAUCACAGGAAAUAUGCAUCAAUAUAAAG